GGUGCUCUUGACUGAGUGUCGGCGGUGGCCGAGAAGUUUACUUUGAAAAAAUUAGAGUGUUCAAAGCAGGCUGUUCGCCUGUAUAGUGUUGCAUGGAAUAAUGGAAUAGGACCUCGGUUCUAUUUUGUUGGUUUUCGGAGCGUGAGGUAAUGAUUAAGAGGGACAGACGGGGGCGUCCGUACUCUGCCGUUAGAGGUGAAAUUCUUGGAUCGGCGGAAGACGAACUACUGCGAAAGCAUUCGCCAAGAAUGUUUUCUUUAAUCAAGAGCGAAAGUCAGAGGUUCGAAGACGAUCAGAUACCGUCCUAGUUCUGACUAUAAACGAUGCCAACUAGCGAUCGGGAGGCGUUACCAUGACGACCUUCCCGGCAGCUUCCGGGAAACCAAAGUCUUUGGGUUCCGGGGGAAGUAUGGUUGCAAAGCUGAAACUUAAAGGAAUUGACGGAAGGGCACCACCAGGAGUGGAGCCUGCGGCUUAAUUUGACUCAACACGGGGAAACUCACCCGGCCCGGACACAGGUAGGAUUGACAGAUUGAGAGCUCUUUCUUGAUUCUGUGGGUGGUGGUGCAUGGCCGUUCUUAGUUGGUGGAGCGAUUUGUCUGGUUAAUUCCGAUAACGAACGAGACUCUGGCAUGCUAAAUAGUUACGCGACCUUCUCGGUCGGCGUCUAACUUCUUAGAGGGACUAGUGGCGUUUAGCCACACGAGAUUGAGCAA
RNAcentral lists this ribosomal RNA (716 nucleotides) under Symplegma reptans. RNAcentral's name for it is "SSU rRNA". It matches the Rfam family "Eukaryotic small subunit ribosomal RNA", at positions 715 to 1453 of the family's 1831-position model. The record is from RNAcentral. Lineage: Eukaryota; Metazoa; Chordata; Ascidiacea; Stolidobranchia; Styelidae.